UGAAGCUGCGGUGACGUAUGGUGCUGUGGCUCUGCAAGUGGAUAGUAUUGGGCGGCGGCCAUGGAAGGACGCUAACGCAGAGACACCCGGAUGACAGGAUUUCAGCUUUUAACAAAGAAUCGUCGCCAGGCCGCAUUGCUAUGCAAGAGCCUCUCAUGACAGCAGCAGCAUGGUCUGCAGGAAAGCAACCUUCAUCAACAUCUCUCAGAGCUGACAGCUCUAAAGACACUUCACAUAUUGAAAGAAUUUAGGAAGAAUCAACUUCGGGUUUGCGUGAUUCAAAUCCCCCACUAUGACGUGAAAGCCAUCGUGGGGAUUUUGCAGCCUGCUAGCUGUGCAACUGCGUCCAGGAACCAUCAGAAUGGAAGAUCAACAGCCUGACCAUCUAUGAUGACAGUCUUCUGCCCUCUUGAACCCACCUCUUUCUGCCCGAGUCAUGUGAAAACCAGCUCCAGUGCCAUCUUUGGACGGCCUGCAAUAUGUCUCACAUAUGAGAAGAUGUUCUUACAUUUCUUUUUUUGUAUAUAUAUACUGUGAUGGACGGCCAGAAGCUCAACCUGGCCAGGACGCCUAAAGAAUGGAAGGCUGGGGGAAGGCAGCUACUUUGGGACACUGCCUCCCCCAAGAUGCUAGAUGGCGAUUUCCCUGCAGCUCCCUCAGCAGGAUUUCUGCAGGGCACCAUGGGAUCUGGAGUUUGGCUUCACAGCCAUGCUGGAUACCAUGGGUGCCACCAGGAGACGCUGCAGGAGGACCUGGGGAUUUCUACUUUCUGCAUAGCCUGGAAGUACUCUCAAGUCACGGGGACGGAAGCCCCGAAGUACUUCCAGGCUGAAGAAAACUCAAGUUCUCCAUCUGAUCCAGGUCAGGGACUAUUUAAAGGACUGCUGAGAACCCAGCAGGCCAGCCAGAGUUGGUUGGAGGUGGACAAAGCUUGCUGGGAGGUGUGGAGGAGAUAGAGAGAGAAUUGUAUGGUUAUUAUGGCUAUUUACUUGCCUGUUUACUGUGGGUGUGGUGCUUGGGGAGCACUAU
Long non-coding RNA from Erpetoichthys calabaricus (reedfish), 1029 nucleotides. RefSeq lists it as uncharacterized. The transcript is spliced from 5 exons. The record is from RefSeq and is a predicted model, not a curated record. Lineage: Eukaryota; Metazoa; Chordata; Cladistia; Polypteriformes; Polypteridae.